AGUGAACGCUGGCGGUAGGCCUAACACAUGCAAGUCGAACGGCAGCACAGUAAGAGCUUGCUCUUACGGGUGGCGAGUGGCGGACGGGUGAGGAAUACAUCGGAAUCUACUUUUUCGUGGGGGAUAACGUAGGGAAACUUACGCUAAUACCGCAUACGACCUACGGGUGAAAGCAGGGGAUCUUCGGACCUUGCGCGAUUGAAUGAGCCGAUGUCGGAAUAGCUAGUUGGCGGGGUAAAGGCCCACCAAGGCGACGAUCCGUAGCUGGUCUGAGAGGAUGAUCAGCCACACUGGAACUGAGACACGGUCCAGACUCCUACGGGAGGCAGCAGUGGGGAAUAUUGGACAAAGGGCGCAAGCCUGAUCCAGCCAUACCGCGUGGGUGAAGAAGGCCUUCGGGUUGUAAAGCCCUUUUGUUGGGAAAGAAAAGCAGCAGGUUAAUACCCCGCUGUUCUGACGGUACCCAAAGAAUAAGCACCGGCUAACUUCGUG
Molecule: ribosomal RNA, 492 nt
Filed under: uncultured bacterium
Lineage: Bacteria
Description: partial 16S ribosomal RNA
Rfam family: Bacterial small subunit ribosomal RNA
Source: RNAcentral